AAUAUGGUAGUGAAAGAUAAGGCGAAAGUGAGAUUAACACAUUACCAGAUCAGUAUUCCGUGUCUGUUAAUCCGUGUAGUCCUACUCAAGUUGACGAGUCUUACGCAGUUAUAAGUGGCUCCACACUGCUUCAUACAAGUUAGCCUAGGUUAAUAUAAAUUCCCUUGCAAACUAGGCAAAAAGAGCAUACCUUCCAAAUAAACUCAUCAGAGUUCACUAAGAGAUUCAUAUCAAGAACAUAAUAGAAAGCAAGCGAGGUUUUAAUGAUGUUUACACUGUUCUUUCGAAAACUACUAAAGGGACUCUGGGUCACAGCAUCCAGAGGACCAGCUCUCAACCAGGAAGAUUUUGAUG
RNAcentral lists this long non-coding RNA (354 nucleotides) under Gossypium barbadense (sea-island cotton). RNAcentral's name for it is "long non-coding RNA (GBAR_LNC008495)". Lineage: Eukaryota; Viridiplantae; Streptophyta; Magnoliopsida; Malvales; Malvaceae. The record is from RNAcentral.